Long non-coding RNA from Phragmites australis (common reed), 783 nucleotides. RefSeq lists it as uncharacterized. The record is from RefSeq and is a predicted model, not a curated record. The transcript has 7 exons. NCBI's taxonomy places the organism in Eukaryota, Viridiplantae, Streptophyta, Magnoliopsida, Poales, Poaceae.
AUCUAAUAUGAUACAUCUACUUCUUGAUAAUGAAUUAUUUCUUUUACAGGCACUGAAACGUAUGUUGCUUUCAUCCCUAUCUUCAAUAUCUUCUUCACAAUGCACAGCAAAAUUUGAUGUCUUUUUCAUUGGAGAAGUUCAAUCUCGCGGAUAUCUUUAGUACGCUGACUUGAUGUAUUCCUCAUUAUUGUUCUCUCUUGUACUGGUUUAAUACUGGAUCUUUAGAGAUAUUGUUUAGUCCCCAUAUAAUAACUGUUAAGGCUAAUGAGGUACUUCAAACCCAUAUAAUAAAUGUGAAGGCUAAUGAGUAAUGGCCAUGAAGAAGGCAUGGGCAUGGAGCAUACCAAUCAGGCCAGAUGCAAACCAAGUGCAUGAAGAAGGCAUGGGCAUGGAGCAUACCAAUCAGGCAAGAUGCAAACCAAGUGCAUGAAGAAGGCAUGGGCAUGGAGCAUACCAAUCAGGCAAGAUGGAAACCAAGGUGAAAGUGUAACGGCAAUGAAGAAGGCAUGGGCAUGGGCAUGGAGCAUACCAAUCAGGCGAGUUGCAAACCAAGUGGUAGUGGUCCGCGAGUUGUAGCCUCAGCAAUUGGCGACAAAAUUUUGGAUCUGUGUCCGUACUUGUCGAUUGAACUCCAAAAUUUGGGCCUGCGUGUAUUGUUCUGGUCUUUCGUGAUGCCAUAUUUAUUGUCAUGAUAAGCUAUUGAUGAGGAAUCUAUUAGGAUACGGAGAUGCCUAUAAUAUUUAAAUAUCUAUCUGCUUUCUGACGUAAAGUUUUGGAGACCAA